AUGCAACAGCUACAGAGAAUAAAGACUUUUGUGUGCAGCAGUUUGUCUUGUUUAAACCUACCAGUCACAGUGAUGCUGACACUGUUGCUGCACUCUCCUGCUGCAGACUCACACCAGUACACUCCAGAGUCUGAUGGAUGAGUUUCCCUGCGGCUCACAGAUCAGAGAGACGGACUCGUACUGGAAGAACUGGGAUCUGUUGGGAACGACUCUGAGAGCGGCUGCAAGACACAAACAGAUGGAGGGAAAGUGAGAUUGUCAUGAUGAAUCCGCCUCACUCAACAACAUCUAAAAUAAAACAUCUGACCUUUUACACUUA
Acanthopagrus latus (yellowfin seabream) is the source of this 319-nucleotide long non-coding RNA. RefSeq lists it as uncharacterized. The record is from RefSeq and is a predicted model, not a curated record. Lineage: Eukaryota; Metazoa; Chordata; Actinopteri; Spariformes; Sparidae. The transcript is spliced from 2 exons.